This 577-nucleotide ribosomal RNA is filed under the name Paenibacillus sp. RNAcentral describes it as "bacterial SSU rRNA". It matches the Rfam family "Bacterial small subunit ribosomal RNA", at positions 84 to 648 of the family's 1533-position model. The record is from RNAcentral. Lineage: Bacteria; Bacillati; Bacillota; Bacilli; Caryophanales; Paenibacillaceae.
CCUGAUGGUUAGCGGCGGACGGGUGAGUAACACGUAGGCAACCUGCCCGUAAGACUGGGAUAACUACCGGAAACGGUAGCUAAUACCGGAUAAUCAAGUUUCUCGCAUGAGAGACUUGGGAAAGGCGGAGCAAUCUGUCACUUACGGAUGGGCCUGCGGCGCAUUAGCUAGUUGGUGGGGUAACGGCUCACCAAGGCGACGAUGCGUAGCCGACCUGAGAGGGUGAACGGCCACACUGGGACUGAGACACGGCCCAGACUCCUACGGGAGGCAGCAGUAGGGAAUCUUCCGCAAUGGACGAAAGUCUGACGGAGCAACGCCGCGUGAGUGAAGAAGGUUUUCGGAUCGUAAAGCUCUGUUGCCAGGGAAGAACGUCUUCUGGAGUAACUGCCAGGAGAGUGACGGUACCUGAGAAGAAAGCCCCGGCUAACUACGUGCCAGCAGCCGCGGUAAUACGUAGGGGGCAAGCGUUGUCCGGAAUUAUUGGGCGUAAAGCGCGCGCAGGCGGCUGUUUAAGUCUGGUGUUUAAUCCUGGGGCUCAACUCCGGGUCGCACUGGAAACUGGAUGGCUUGAGUG